GUCUGGAUAGCUCAGCUGGUUAGAGCGCGGUGCUGACAAGGCCGAGGUUGCAGGAUUGAUCCCCGUAUGGGACA
Molecule: non-coding RNA, 74 nt
Organism: Podarcis lilfordi (Lilford's wall lizard)
Lineage: Eukaryota; Metazoa; Chordata; Lepidosauria; Squamata; Lacertidae
Source: the annotation of a GenBank genome assembly